This 115-nucleotide non-coding RNA is filed under the name Fragilariopsis kerguelensis. Lineage: Eukaryota; Bacillariophyta; Bacillariophyceae; Bacillariales; Bacillariaceae. The record is from RNAcentral.
AAAAUGAAAACAUCCCAGGUAGUUAUUGAACAUGUGUGUCUAUUUGUUUGUAUGACACAAUUACUUUUAUUAUUUAUUUUUUUGCUGUCUCUUUUGUUUCUGUUUCACUUUGACA